RNAcentral lists this ribosomal RNA (807 nucleotides) under uncultured bacterium. RNAcentral describes it as "bacterial SSU rRNA". It matches the Rfam family "Bacterial small subunit ribosomal RNA", at positions 8 to 796 of the family's 1533-position model. The record is from RNAcentral.
AGAGUUUGAUCAUGGCUCAGAACGAACGCUGGCGGCGGGCCUAAUACAUGCAAGUCGUACGAGAAAGCUCGGCUUCGGCUGGGUGAUUAAAGUGGCGAACGGGUGAGUAACACGUGGGCAAUCUGCCCUUAAGUUUGGGAUAAGCCUUCGAAAGGGGGUCUAAUACCGGAUAAUAUCCGAAGAUGGCAUCUUUUUCGGAUCAAAGGUGGAGCAAUCUGCCGCUUAGGGAUGAGCCCGCGUCCCAUUAGCUUGUUGGUGAGGUAACGGCUCACCAAGGCUGUGAUGGGUAGCCGGCCUGAGAGGGUGAUCGGCCACACUGGGACUGAGAUACGGCCCAGACUCCUACGGGAGGCAGCAGUAGGGAAUAUUGCGCAAUGGACGAAAGUCUGACGCAGCCACGCCGCGUGGAUGAUGAAGCUUUUUGGAGUGUAAAAUCCUGUCAGUGGGGAAGAAACGGUCGGGGAGUAACUGCCCCGGCCCUGACGGUACCCGCAGAGGAAGUUCCGGCUAACUCCGUGCCAGCAGCCGCGGUAAUACGGGGGGAACAAGCGUUGUUCGGAUUCACUGGGCGUAAAGGGCGUGUAGGCGGAUUCGCAAGUCAGAUGUGAAAACCGGCGGCUUAACCACCGGCCUGCAUCUGAUACUGCAGAUCUUGAGUACGGUAGAGGAAAGUGGAAUUCCAGGUGUAGCGGUGACAUGCGUAGAUAUCUGGAAGAACACCGGUGGCGAAGGCGGCUUUCUGGACCGAUACUGACGCUGAGGCGCGAAAGCCAGGGGAGCAAACAGGAUUAGAUACCCUAGUAGUCC